UACAGAGAGUGCAAACGUUGUUCGGAAUCACUGGGCUUAAAGCGCACGUAGGCGGCAUCGUAAGUGUCGGGUGAAAUCCCACGGCUCACCCGUGGAACUGCCCGGCAGACUGCGAUGCUAGAGUGUGGUAGGGGAAAGCGGAACUCCUGGUGGAGCGGUGAAAUGCGUAGAUAUCAGGAGGAACACCGGUGGCGAAGGCGGCUUUCUGGUCCACAACUGACGCUGAGGUGCGAAAGCUAGGGGAGCAAACGGG
Molecule: ribosomal RNA, 253 nt
Filed under: uncultured bacterium
Lineage: Bacteria
Description: partial 16S ribosomal RNA
Rfam family: Bacterial small subunit ribosomal RNA
Source: RNAcentral